UACGGAGGGAGCUAGCGUUGUUCGGAAUUACUGGGCGUAAAGCGCGCGCAGGUGGUCUUUCAAGUCAGUGGUGAAAGCCCGGAGCUCAACUCCGGAAAUGCCAUUGAAACUGUAAGACUUGAGGAUGAGAGAGGUGAGUGGAAUUCCCAGUGUAGAGGUGAAAUUCGUAGAUAUUGGGAAGAACACCGGUGGCGAAGGCGGCUCACUGGCUCAUAUCUGACGCUCAGGCGCGACAGCGUGGGGAUCAAACAGG
RNAcentral lists this ribosomal RNA (253 nucleotides) under uncultured bacterium. RNAcentral's name for it is "partial 16S ribosomal RNA". It matches the Rfam family "Bacterial small subunit ribosomal RNA", at positions 524 to 776 of the family's 1533-position model. The record is from RNAcentral.